ACCACAACAACCGGAACAACAGCCAUAAAUACAACCAACGUAACAAUCACAACAACUGAAACACCAGCCAUAUAUACAACCAACGUAACAAACACAACAACCGAAACAACAGCCAUAAAUACAACCAACGUAACAACUGAAACACCAGCCAUAAAUACAACCAACGUAACAACCGAAACGCCAGCCAUAAAUACAACCAAUGUAACAACCACAACAACCGAAACACCAGCCAUAAAUACAACCAACGUAACAACCGAAACACCAGCCAUAAAUACAACCAACGUAACAACCGAAACACCAGCCAUAAAUACAACCAACGUAACAACCGAAACACCAGCAAUAAAUACAACCUACGUAACAACCACAACAACCGAGACACCAGCCAUAAAUACAACCAACGUAACAACCACAACAAUUGAAACACCAGCAAUAAAUACAACCAACGUAACAACCACAACAACCGAGACACCAGCCAUAAAUACAACCAACGUAACAACCACAACAAUUGAAACACCUGCAAUAAAUACAACCAACGUAACAACCACAACAACUGAAACACCAGCCAUAAAUACAACCAGCAUAACAACCACAACAAUUGAAACACCAGCAAUAAAUACAACCAACGUAACAACCACAACAACCGAGACACCAGCCAUAAAUACAACCAACGUAACAACCACAACAAUUGAAACACCUGCAAUAAAUACAACCAACGUAACAACCACAACAACUGAAACACCAGCCAUAAAUACAACCAGCAUAACAACCACAACAAUUGAAACACCAGCAAUAAAUACAACCAACGUAACAACCACAACAACCGAGACACCAGCCAUAAAUACAACCAACGUAACAACCACAACAAUUGAAACACCUGCAAUAAAUACAGCCAACGUAACAACCACAACAACUGAAACACCAGCCAUAAAUACAACCAGCGUAACAACCACAACAAUUGAAACACCAGCAAUAAAUACAACCAACGUAACAACCACAACAACCGGAACACCAGCCAUAAAUACAACCAACGUAACAACCACAACAACCAAAACAACAGCCAUACGUACAACCAACAAAACAACAGGAACAACACCACCUACUACUACAAUGACAACACCUACUACAACAAUAACAAAACCUACUACUAUAAGGACACCUACUACUACAACUACUAGAACUACUUCUGCUACACAAAUAGUGUUAUUGGUGGAGGUUCUCAGAUUCACUCUUGAUAUGACGUUCACCACAGACCUUGAAAAUUCUUUAUCAGCUGCUUUCCAAACUCUUGCUACAUGGAUUGAAGAUCUGCUUGAUGUAAUAUAUAAAAAACAAUACAACCGCUAUAGCCACUGCAGAGUCAACAGCUUCGCGAGAGGAUCUGUGAAAGUAAAUGCAACGUUGUUCUUUGCUGACACGAUACCUAACAAUGCAGAUAUAGAAAUGACGCUGGUUUCAGCCUGGGAAAGUAACUCUACCGGCUUACCUCUAGUAAAUGGCACUGUUGUCGCUGGACAAGCUGGCCUAUCUAGCAGCUCUCCAAGUGCAGCCUUCUUUUCUACAGUAACGCUUCUUCUAACAUGUGUACUUUUACUAUCACAAACCCUUUUAUUAAUAUAGUCCACUCUGUGUUUAUAUCUCCACUGAUGACCGAAAGACAGAUCAAGAUAACAAAUAAUUCUAAAGGAUCUUUAGACUAUUUUUUGAUCUGUUCAGAAAAUUUAUAUGUAGAUUUGUGGGCAUGUUGUAGCCUAGUGAUUAAGGUGUUGGGCUACCAAUUGGAAGGUUGUGAGUUCGAUCUGUCAAGUUUCAAACUUACUGUGUAAAUUCCUAAUUAUUACCCGGUAGAUUUCAGGGAAUGCUCUUAAAUCUGGGUUUUUUUUAUUUAUACUUUUUACUGAAUAAAGUCUAUUUACUGAGUGUAGACUUUUUAAUGUUUUUUAUGUGUCUAACUUACCUGCCACCUUGUUUUCAUAAGACAGCAAUUGUCUCACCUCUUGUCUCAUAUUACUGAGUUAUACAGUAUGUAAUAAUGUUUAGGUGGUUGUGGCCAGGUUGGUGUACUAAUGAAUUUGCAAGUAAACACUCUUGAAUGUUGUAUCCAGAAGCACCAUACAGUAGUUACUCUUGGGCCGUGUACUUAAUUAAGUAGAAUGAUAAAUGAGCGCCUAUCAGUCUAUCCUAAAGUCUGUGCUUUGUCAUGGAUGGCUUGUAUUAUUCCUUGCCUGAACACCAGGGGAUGUUCUGGAGAGCUUCAUUUACAUCUUGUGUCACGUGUCUUUGUAUUUGUUUGUCCACGUGUGUUUGUCCUGCAAGGUCCUUAAUCCAUUCCAGCCUCUGCUCACCUGUUCCUUGUGUUCCACUGAAUGUUCCCCCUAUUUAUACCAGUUGUCUUGCGUGGUGUUUGCUGAGUCCUUGAUUUUUCAUGUGUUGUAGUGGCUCCUGAGUUCUGUUUGUUAAUUCUAACUUAUUUCACUACUUUCUUCGCCAACUUAUGCACUAGAUCCCUUACAUAUAUCUUUCUUUAAGCAGAUAAUAACAAAAGCAAUUUCUGUAAUAAUCAGUUCUUCCCUGAUCAACUGCCACUUUAGUAGGUUUAUUGCUGUAGUUUGCAUUUUUGUUUUAUUCAUGUACGUAUUUCAAACUAAACACAGGCUGAUGUACAUCAGAGUCCUAUAAUAAAGUCUUAUAUAACCUCCCACACUCCACUAUAAUAAACCUAUUCAUGAAAAAAGCAUCUUAAACAUUAAAAAAAUUACCUUUAUAUAUGAAUGAAUUAAAUAAUACAUGAGUUAGUCUCUGUUACUCCACUAGAGGACAGAAUAGUGCAAUGAAUUCAGGACCUAGAUCUUGGCUACUGAUCUAAUUUUACAGAAACAAGAGUGCUUUUUAUAAUAGAAUUUUUAUAAUAAUAAGGACUCUUUUAAUCUAUAAAAAAAUUCAUCUGAAACUGUAUACAUUAUUUGCUUAAUUUCAUUAUUAUAGGUUAGUUUGUACAAAUUCAUGAGUUAUAAUAGAAAAUGUGUAAAAGUUCAAACUGUGUGUAUGUGCUUGUGUGUGUGUGUGUGUGUGUGUGUGUGUGUGUGUGUGUGUGUGUGUGUGUGUGUGUGUGUGUGUGUGUGUUUUCACCACCCUGAGUGUAAACUGGUUUCUGAAGAUGAAUUAAGGAAUUAAAAAAAGUUUUUAACAAUUUUCAGCACAAGAAUAAUAAUGUUAUAAAUCGUAUUUACUACACUGUGAAAUCAACUAUGAAGUCAAUGAAUGUACAUGUAUAUUUUAUUAUGCGCUGUUUCAAUGAUUUGAAUAAAGAAUAUAGUCACA
Long non-coding RNA from Tachysurus fulvidraco (yellow catfish), 3318 nucleotides. RefSeq lists it as uncharacterized. The transcript is spliced from 4 exons. The record is from RefSeq and is a predicted model, not a curated record. Lineage: Eukaryota; Metazoa; Chordata; Actinopteri; Siluriformes; Bagridae.